This 421-nucleotide ribosomal RNA is filed under the name uncultured eukaryote. RNAcentral describes it as "SSU rRNA". It matches the Rfam family "Eukaryotic small subunit ribosomal RNA", at positions 592 to 1018 of the family's 1831-position model. The record is from RNAcentral.
CAAUAGCGUAUAUUAAAGUUGUUGCGGUUAAAAGCUCGUAGUUGGAUUUCUGCCGAGGACGACCGGUCCGCCCUCUGGGUGAGCAUCUGGCUCGGCCUGGGCAUCCUCUUGGAGAACGUAGCUGCACUUGACUGUGUGGGGCGGUAUCCAGGACUUUUACUUUGAGGAAAUUAGAGUGUUUCAAGCAGGCAUACGCCUUGAAUACAUUAGCAUGGAGUAAUAAGAUAGGACCUCGGUUCUAUUUUGUUGGUUUCUAGAGCUGAGGUAAUGAUUAAUAGGGAUAGUUGGGGGCAUUCGUAUUUAACUGUCAGAGGUGAAAUUCUCUGAUUUGUUAAAGACGGAUUACUGCGAAAGCAUUUGCCACGGAUGUUUUCAUUGAUCAAGAACGAAAGUUAGGGGAUCGAAGACGAUCAGAUACCAU